UGCCAGCCGCCGCGGUAAUACGGAGGGGGUUAGCGUUGUUCGGAAUUACUGGGCGUAAAGCGCACGUAGGCGGUCUUGUCAGUCAGGUGAAAUCCCAGGGCUCAACCCUGGAACUGCCUCAUAAACUAUCAGUCUAGAGUUCGAGAGAGGUGAGUGGAAUUCCGAGUGUAGAGGUGAAAUUCGUAGAUAUUCGGAGGAACACCAGUGGCGAAGGCGGCUCACUGGCUCGAUACUGACGCUGAGGUGCGAAAGUGUGGGGAGCAAACAGGAUUAGAUA
RNAcentral lists this ribosomal RNA (277 nucleotides) under uncultured bacterium. RNAcentral describes it as "partial 16S ribosomal RNA". It matches the Rfam family "Bacterial small subunit ribosomal RNA", at positions 506 to 784 of the family's 1533-position model. The record is from RNAcentral.